GGGACACGUGGUAUCCUGUCUGAAUAUGGGGGGACCAUCCUCCAAGGCUAAAUACUCCUGACUGACCGAUAGUGAACCAGUACCGUGAGGGAAAGGCGAAAAGAACCCCGGCGAGGGGAGUGAAAAAGAACCUGAAACCGUGUACGUACAAGCAGUGGGAGCCUCUUUUAUGGGGUGACUGCGUACCUUUUGUAUAAUGGGUCAGCGACUUAUAUUCUGUAGCAAGGUUAACCGAAUAGGGGAGCCGAAGGGAAACCGAGUCUUAACUGGGCGUUAAGUUGCAGGGUAUAGACCCGAAACCCGGUGAUCUAGCCAUGGGCAGGUUGAAGGUUGGGUAACACUAACUGGAGGACCGAACCGACUAAUGUUGAAAAAUUAGCGGAUGACUUGUGGCUGGGGGUGAAAGGCCAAUCAAACCGGGAGAUAGCUGGUUCUCCCCGAAAGCUAUUUAGGUAGCGCCUCGUGAAUUCAUCUCCGGGGGUAGAGCACUGUUUCGGCAAGGGGGUCAUCCCGACUUACCAACCCGAUGCAAACUGCGAAUACCGGAGAAUGUUAUCACGGGAGACACACGGCGGGUGCUAACGUCCGUCGUGAAGAGGGAAACAACCCAGACCGCCAGCUAAGGUCCCAAAGUCAUGGUUAAGUGGGAAACGAUGUGGGAAGGCCCAGACAGCCAGGAUGUUGGCUUAGAAGCAGCCAUCAUUUAAAGAAAGCGUAAUAGCUCACUGGUCGAGUCGGCCUGCGCGGAAGAUGUAACGGGGCUAAACCAUGCACCGAAGCUGCGGCAGCGACACUGUGUGUUGUUGGGUAGGGGAGCGUUCUGUAAGCCUGUGAAGGUGUACUGUGAGGUAUGCUGGAGGUAUCAGAAGUGCGAAUGCUGACAUAAGUAACGAUAAAGCGGGUGAAAAGCCCGCUCGCCGGAAGACCAAGGGUUCCUGUCCAACGUUAAUCGGGGCAGGGUGAGUCGACCCCUAAGGCGAGGCCGAAAGGCGUAGUCGAUGGGAAACAGGUUAAUAUUCCUGUACUUGGUGUUACU
RNAcentral lists this ribosomal RNA (1036 nucleotides) under Escherichia coli. RNAcentral describes it as "partial 23S ribosomal RNA". It matches the Rfam family "Bacterial large subunit ribosomal RNA", at positions 419 to 1455 of the family's 2925-position model. The record is from RNAcentral. Lineage: Bacteria; Pseudomonadati; Pseudomonadota; Gammaproteobacteria; Enterobacterales; Enterobacteriaceae.